This 467-nucleotide ribosomal RNA is filed under the name uncultured bacterium. Its description in RNAcentral is "partial 16S ribosomal RNA". It matches the Rfam family "Bacterial small subunit ribosomal RNA", at positions 29 to 507 of the family's 1533-position model. The record is from RNAcentral.
ACGAACGCUGGCGGCGUGCUUAACCCAUGCCAGUCGAACGGAAAGGCCCUGCUUUUGUGGGGUGCUCGAGUGGCGAACGGGUGAGUAACACGUGAGUAACCUGCCCUUGACCUUGGGAUAACUUCAGGAAACUGGGGCUAAUACCGGAUAGGAGCUCCUGCUGCAUGGUGGGGGUUGGAAAGUUUCGGCGGUUGGGGAUGGACUCGCGGCUUAUCAGCUUGUUGGUGGGGUAGUGGCUUACCAAGGCUUUGACGGGUAGCCGGCCUGAGAGGGUGACCGGCCACAUUGGGACUGAGAUACGGCCCAGACUCCUACGGGAGGCAGCAGUGGGGAAUAUUGCACAAUGGGCGGAAGCCUGAUGCAGCAACGCCGCGUGCGGGAUGACGGCCUUCGGGUUGUAAACCGCUUUCGCCUGUGACGAAGCGUGAGUGACGGUAAUGGGUAAAGAAGCACCGGCUAACUACGUG